GAAACCGACCAGCAUCCGCCCCCCUUCUUUCUUUUCCACGCGGAUUACUUCCGCCUAAAGCAACGGUUCCUCUUUCUCGGCCUUUCUUCCUCCUCCUCCUCCUCGCUUGCCACCCAACGCCCCCCCUCCCCCCCCCCCCCCCCCCCCCCCCGGCCCGAUCUAUUCUAGUAAAUCUAUAAAACGCACGCCAACACCACAAGCUUUUCUCUUCUCUUGAGCUCUCUGUCAGGUUUGAGAACGAUUCAGGACUCUGCUUCUAAGAUGGGAGCCAGCCAGUUCAUGACGGGCAACCAGGAUGCCUCUCCCGUGCCGAGCAACCAGGAUGCCUCUUUCAUGACGAGCAACCAGGAUGCCUCUUCCAUGACGAGCUACCAGGAUGCCUCUUCCAUGUCUCUCCCAAGUAUAGGCGCCGAAGGCUAUGCCAUGCCGGUCCCAAAAGGACCUCCUGUGAUGGCACCACCUGAGCGUGCAGCUCCACCACCAGAAAGACAUCCUGCUUUUGUUGGGGGAUGGUGCGUAUCUCAUCCAAUCUUCUCCUCCUCGUUUAUAACAAGUGCUGCGGCUGCUGGGAUUCGUCUGUCACACCUGACAAUUGAUGGUCUCCGUUCACCGCUGAUAUGGCCCUUCAUAAUGUUAAUUUCUUUUAUAUAAAUUUCUCCCCUUAUGUAUGCUUGUAGAUUGAUGGUAUUUCUUCAUGACAACGAGUGAUGUUAUAUGUAAAUAAAUACUUGCAUCCUCCCAAAUUAUGUUUUUGGCGUUCCAUAUUGCCUCGGAACUUAGAUUAGAUGAUUCAACGAUUAAACCUUCUUGUA
Phoenix dactylifera (date palm) is the source of this 812-nucleotide long non-coding RNA. RefSeq lists it as uncharacterized. Lineage: Eukaryota; Viridiplantae; Streptophyta; Magnoliopsida; Arecales; Arecaceae. The record is from RefSeq and is a predicted model, not a curated record.